RNAcentral lists this unclassified non-coding RNA (395 nucleotides) under Hevea brasiliensis (rubber tree). Lineage: Eukaryota; Viridiplantae; Streptophyta; Magnoliopsida; Malpighiales; Euphorbiaceae. The record is from RNAcentral.
GUUCAACUAAUGCUAGUGUUGAUAUUGAUGGCUCACUUGGUGAAUCAGACUGCGUGAAGGAAAGCGGUUGUAAGAAAAGGACAAGAGCUGAAUCAUGCACCUCAUCAAGUUCCAAAGCUUGCAGGGAGAAAUUAAGGAGAGAGAAACUGAAUGAAAAGUUCAUGGAAUUGGCGGUGCUUCUUGAGCCCAGCAGGCCUCCAAAAACAGACAAGAGUGCCAUUCUUGUUGAUGCUGUUCGCGUGGUGACACAGUUACGUGGUGAGGCUCAAAAAUUGAAAGACUCAAAUUUGGAUCUACAAGAAAAGAUAAAGGAGUUGAAGGUUGAGAAAAAUGAGCUUCGAGAUGAAAAGCAGAGGCUGAAGUCCGAGAAAGAGAAGCUAGAGCAACAACUAAAG